UACGUAGGGUGCGAGCGUUAAUCGGAAUUACUGGGCGUAAAGCGUGCGCAGGCGGUUUUGUAAGCCAGAUGUGAAAGCCCCGGGCUCAACCUGGGAAUGGCAUUUGGGACUGCAAGGCUUGAGUGCGGCAGAGGAGACUGGAAUUCCUGGUGUAGCAGUGAAAUGCGUAGAUAUCAGGAGGAACACCAGUGGCGAAGGCGGUUCUCUGGGCAUUACCUGACGCUGAGGAGCGAAAGCGUGGGGAGCAAACAGG
This 253-nucleotide ribosomal RNA is filed under the name uncultured bacterium. RNAcentral's name for it is "partial 16S ribosomal RNA". It matches the Rfam family "Bacterial small subunit ribosomal RNA", at positions 524 to 776 of the family's 1533-position model. The record is from RNAcentral.